RNAcentral lists this ribosomal RNA (254 nucleotides) under uncultured bacterium. Its description in RNAcentral is "partial 16S ribosomal RNA". It matches the Rfam family "Bacterial small subunit ribosomal RNA", at positions 524 to 776 of the family's 1533-position model. The record is from RNAcentral.
UACGUAGGGGGCUAGCGUUGUCCGGAUUUAUUGGGCGUAAAAGAGCGUGUAGGCGGCCAUGUAGGUCCGGUGUGAAAACUCGAGGCUUAACCUCGAGAUGUCAUCGGAAACCAUUUGGCUAGAGUCCGGAAGAGGAGAGUGGAAUUCCUGGUGUAGCGGUGAAAUGCGCAGAUAUCAGGAAGAACACCAAUGGCGAAAGCAGCUCUCUGGGACGGUACUGACGCUGAGACGCGAAAGCGUGGGGAGCGAACAGG